UGGGGAAUAUUGCACAAUGGGCGCAAGCCUGAUGCAGCCAUGCCGCGUGUGUGAAGAAGGCCUUCGGGUUGUAAAGCACUUUCAGCGAGGAGGAAGGUGGUGGACUUAAUACGUUCAUCAAUUGACGUUACUCGCAGAAGAAGCACCGGCUAACUCCGUGCCAGCAGCCGCGGUAAUACGGAGGGUGCAAGCGUUAAUCGGAAUUACUGGGCGUAAAGCGCACGCAGGCGGUUUGUUAAGUCAGAUGUGAAAUCCCCGGGCUCAACCUGGGAACUGCAUUUGAAACUGGCAAGCUAGAGUCUCGUAGAGGGGGGUAGAAUUCCAGGUGUAGCGGUGAAAUGCGUAGAGAUCUGGAGGAAUACCGGUGGCGAAGGCGGCCCCCCUGGACGAAGACUGACGCUCAGGUGCGAAAGCGUGGGGCAGCAAACAGGAUUAGAUACCCUGGUAGUCCAGCGCUGUAAACGAUGUCGAUUUGGAGGUUGUGCCCCUUGAGGCGUGGCUUCCGGAGCUAACGCGUUAAAUCGACCGCCUGGGGAGUACGGCCNCAAGGUUAAAACUUAAAGGAAUUG
Molecule: ribosomal RNA, 569 nt
Filed under: uncultured bacterium
Lineage: Bacteria
Description: partial 16S ribosomal RNA
Rfam family: Bacterial small subunit ribosomal RNA
Source: RNAcentral